GAUGAAGAACGUAGCGAAAUGCGAUAAGUAAUGUGAAUUGCAGAAUUCAGUGAAUCAUCGAAUCUUUGAACGCACAUUGCGCCCGCCAGUAUUCUGGCGGGCAUGCCUGUUCGAGCGUCAUUUCAACCCUCAAGACCCCUUCGGGGGACUUGGUGUUGGGGACCGGCACAGGGGCCUGCCUGCUUGUCUUGCAGCGCCCUCGCCGCCCCCGAAAUGAAUUCGCGGCCUCGUCGCGGCCUCCCCUGCGUAGUAGCACAAACCUCGCAACGGGAACGUGACGGCGGCCACUGCCGUAAAACAACCCAAUUUUAUUAGAGUUGACCUCGAAUCAGGUAGGAAUACCCGCUGAACUUAAGCAUAUCAAUAAGCGGAGGA
RNAcentral lists this unclassified non-coding RNA (375 nucleotides) under soil metagenome. RNAcentral's name for it is "partial contains 5.8S ribosomal RNA, internal transcribed spacer 2, and large subunit ribosomal RNA". The stretch from base 1 to 120 matches the Rfam family "5.8S ribosomal RNA", at positions 35 to 154 of the family's 154-position model. The record is from RNAcentral.